Molecule: ribosomal RNA, 250 nt
Filed under: uncultured bacterium
Lineage: Bacteria
Description: partial 16S ribosomal RNA
Rfam family: Bacterial small subunit ribosomal RNA
Source: RNAcentral
AACGUAGGCGACGAGCGUUAUCCGGAUUUACUGGGCGUAAAGCGCGUGCAGGCGGCUCUUUAAGUCACUUGUGAAAGCGCCCGGCUCAACUGGGCGAGGCCGUGUGAGACUGAAGAGCUUGAGAGAGGUAGAGGCGAAUGGAAUUCCGGGUGGAGUGGUGAAAUGCGUAGAGAUCCGGAGGAACACCAGUGGCGAAGGCGACACGCUGGGCCUGGCCUGACGCUCAGACGCGAAAGCAUGGGGAGCGAAC